Molecule: long non-coding RNA, 606 nt
Organism: Mustela erminea (ermine)
Lineage: Eukaryota; Metazoa; Chordata; Mammalia; Carnivora; Mustelidae
Exons: 4
Source: RefSeq, a predicted model, not a curated record
CUAAAAAGAAAAGUGAUUUAUGUAUCAGGGAAUCCAUCUAUUAUUCACAAUAGGAGAUAUACCUAAAUCCUUAUGAAGCUAUUCUUUUCCCAUUAUCUUGGUACUUGGAAGACUUCAUCACUAAGCAGAAAGCUGCUUGCUAAGUAAGGACUUUCUGAUUAGUAGAUAGAUGCCCUUAAAAAAUCUUUCAUAGGACUGAUAUUCCUGGUCAACGAGGGAACAAAGAGAUGGCAGUCAAAUGAUCAUACCAGUCGAAAACAGAACAUUGCCCACCUGAUCUUGAGGAGAUCGAGGUUGUCAGUUUUAGGAACUUGACCUGGUGAUACAUACCGUACAUGUUGGCAAGAUGUUCCAGCAAUGUGUACACAGUGUUUUGAAGCAGAGACAAGUCAUCUUUUCAGAUGUUCCAGGAAUUCUCUGGAAUUUCUUCUCAGAUGUUUCAGGGAUCCUCUGGAAUUUCCCAAAGUUAGUUCAAGCACCCCUCAUUUCCAGGUUGGAAUCCUAAAGGGGGAAGAAAGUUUGAUAUGUCAGGAGAGGAGUAAGAACUGGAAAACAUAGAGAAGAAAUAUGUCAAUAGCUAAGAGAUGAUUAUUGAGAAAAGAGACA